AUUGAACGCUGGCGGCAGGCCUAACACAUGCAAGUCGAGCGAGCGGCGGACGGGUGAGUUAUGCCUGGGAAUUGCCCAGUCGAGGGGGCUAACAGUUGGAAACGACUGCUAAUACCGCAUACGAUUGGAUUACCCAGGUGUGAUUAGCUAGUUGGUGAGGUAAUGGCUCACCAAGGCGACGAUCCCUAGCUGGUCUGAGAGGAUGAUCAGCCACACUGGAACUGGGACACGGUCCAGGCUCCUACGGAAGGCAGCAGUGGGGAAUAUUGCACAAUGGGGGAAACCCUGGUGCAGCCAUGCCGCGGGUGUGAAGAAAGCCUUGGGGUUGGAAAGCACUUUAAGCGAGGAGGCGUUACUCGCAGAAGAAGCACCGGCUAACUCCGUGACAGCAGCCGCGGUAAUAC
RNAcentral lists this ribosomal RNA (404 nucleotides) under uncultured bacterium. RNAcentral describes it as "partial 16S ribosomal RNA". It matches the Rfam family "Bacterial small subunit ribosomal RNA", at positions 30 to 526 of the family's 1533-position model. The record is from RNAcentral.